This 440-nucleotide ribosomal RNA is filed under the name uncultured bacterium. RNAcentral describes it as "partial 16S ribosomal RNA". It matches the Rfam family "Bacterial small subunit ribosomal RNA", at positions 338 to 795 of the family's 1533-position model. The record is from RNAcentral.
CCUACGGGUGGCAGCAGUAGGGAAUCUUUCACAAUGGGCGAAAGCCUGAUGGAGCAACGCCGCGUGCAGGAUGAAGGCCUUCGGGUUGUAAACUGCUUUUAUAAGCGAGAAAUAUGAUGGUAACUUAUGAAUAAGGAUCGGCUAACUACGUGCCAGCAGCCGCGGUAAUACGUAGGGGGCGAGCGUUAUCCGGAUUCACUGGGUGUAAAGGGAGCGUAGACGGCCAUGCAAGCCAGGGGUGAAAGCCCGGGGCCCAACCCCGGGACUGCCCUUGGAACUGCAUGGCUGGAGUGCGGGAGGGGCAGGCGGAAUUCCUGGUGUAGCGGUGAAAUGCGUAGAUAUCAGGAGGAACACCGGCGGCGAAGGCGGCCUGCUGGACCGCGACUGACGUUGAGGCUCGAAAGCGUGGGGAGCGAACAGGAUUAGAUACCCGGGUAGUC